AUUGAACGCUGGCGGCAUGCCUUACACAUGCAAGUCGAACGGCAGCACGGGAGCAAUCCUGGUGGCGAGUGGCGAACGGGUGAGUAAUAUAUCGGAACGUGCCCAGUCGUGGGGAUAACGUAGCGAAAGCUACGCUAAUACCGCAUACGAUCUAUGGAUGAAAGCGGGGGAUCGCAAGACCUCGCGCGAUUGGAGCGGCCGAUAUCAGAUUAGGUAGUUGGUGAGGUAAAGGCUCACCAAGCCGACGAUCUGUAGCUGGUCUGAGAGGACGACCAGCCACACUGGGACUGAGACACGGCCCAGACUCCUACGGGAGGCAGCAGUGGGGAAUUUUGGACAAUGGGCGCAAGCCUGAUCCAGCAAUGCCGCGUGCAGGAUGAAGGCCUUCGGUUGGUUAAACGUUAGUACG
This 409-nucleotide ribosomal RNA is filed under the name uncultured bacterium. Its description in RNAcentral is "bacterial SSU rRNA". It matches the Rfam family "Bacterial small subunit ribosomal RNA", at positions 30 to 440 of the family's 1533-position model. The record is from RNAcentral.